GCCCUUGUAGCUCAGUUGGUAGAGCACCUGAUUUGUAAUCAGGGGGUCCCGGGUUCGAACCCUGGCGGGGGCACCA
Molecule: transfer RNA, 76 nt
Filed under: Martinezella rhizogenes
Lineage: Bacteria; Pseudomonadati; Pseudomonadota; Alphaproteobacteria; Hyphomicrobiales; Rhizobiaceae
Also listed under: 119 other names
Description: Agrobacterium rhizogenes tRNA-Thr
Rfam family: tRNA
About the family: Transfer RNA (tRNA) molecules are approximately 80 nucleotides in length. Their secondary structure includes four short double-helical elements and three loops (D, anti-codon, and T loops). Further hydrogen bonds mediate the characteristic L-shaped molecular structure. tRNAs have two regions of fundamental functional importance: the anti-codon, which is responsible for specific mRNA codon recognition, and the 3' end, to which the tRNAs corresponding amino acid is attached (by aminoacyl-tRNA synthetases). tRNAs cope with the degeneracy of the genetic code in two manners: having more than one tRNA (with a specific anti-codon) for a particular amino acid; and 'wobble' base-pairing, i.e. permitting non-standard base-pairing at the 3rd anti-codon position.
Source: RNAcentral